UGAUUCGUCACACUAUCAUUAACUGAAUCCAUAGGUUAAUGAGGCGAACCGGGGGAACUGAAACAUCUAAGUACCCCGAGGAAAAGAAAUCAACCGAGAUUCCCCCAGUAGCGGCGAGCGAACGGGGAGGAGCCCAGAGCCUGAAUCAGCAUGUGUGUUAGUGGAAGCGUCUGGAAAGGCGCGCGAUACAGGGUGACAGCCCCGUACACAAAAGCGCAUGUGCUGUGAGCUCGAUGAGUAGGGCGGGACACGUGGUAUCCUGUCUGAAUAUGGGGGGACCAUCCUCCAAGGCUAAAUACUCCUGACUGACCGAUAGUGAACCAGUACCGUGAGGGAAAGGCGAAAAGAACCCCGGCGAGGGGAGUGAAAAAGAACCUGAAACCGUGUACGUACAAGCAGUGGGAGCCCCACCACUAAGCCAGUGGUGAACUCCACAUACGCAUCCUUUGCUGAGGAUACGGUUAACGGAGCGAAAGCGACGUUCAACCGCAAAAGAAGCAGAGGGGGCUUAGUGGUGGGGUGACUGCGUACCUUUUGUAUAAUGGGUCAGCGACUUAUAUUCUGUAGCAAGGUUAACCGUAUAGGGGAGCCGCAGGGAAACCGAGUCUUAAUUGGGCGUUAAGUUGCAGGGUAUAGACCCGAAACCCGGUGAUCUAGCCAUGGGCAGGUUGAAGGUUGGGUAACACUAACUGGAGGACCGAACCGACUAAUGUUGAAAAAUUAGCGGAUGACCUGUGGCUGGGGGUGAAAGGCCAAUCAAACCGGGAGAUAGCUGGUUCUCCCCGAAAGCUAUUUAGGUAGCGCCUCGUGAAUUCAUCUCCGGGGGUAGAGCACUGUUUCGGCUAGGGGGCCAUCCCGGCUUACCAACCCGAUGCAAACUGCGAAUACCGGAGAAUGUUAUCACGGGAGACACACGGCGGGUGCUAACGUCCGUCGUGAAGAGGGAAACAACCCAGACCGCCAGCUAAGGUCCCAAAGUCAUGGUUAAGUGGGAAACGAUGUGGGAAGGCCCAGACAGCCAGGAUGUUGGCUUAGAAGCAGCCAUCAUUUAAAGAAAGCGUAAUAGCUCACUGGUCGAGUCGGCCUGCGCGGAAGAUGUAACGGGGCUAAACCAUGCACCGAAGCUGCGGCAGCGAACGUAUCACUUAAAGCGAUUCAGCGGGUUACGAUUGACGGAGCGAAGCGACGUCAAAGCGUAUACAAAGUCGAGUCGGUUUAAGGAUACGUUCGUUGGGUAGGGGAGCGUUCUGUAAGCCUGCGAAGGUGGCCUGUGAGGGUUGCUGGAGGUAUCAGAAGUGCGAAUGCUGACAUAAGUAACGAUAAAGCGGGUGAAAAGCCCGCUCGCCGGAAGACCAAGGGUUCCUGUCCAACGUUAAUCGGGGCAGGGUGAGUCGACCCCUAAGGCGAGGCCGAAAGGCGUAGUCGAUGGGAAACGGGUUAAUAUUCCCGUACUUGGUGUUACUGCGAAGGGGGGACGGAGAAGGCUAUGUUGGCCGGGCGACGGUUGUCCCGGUUUAAGCGUGUAGGUGUGUGUUCCAGGUAAAUCCGGUUCACUUUAACACUGAGGCGUGACGACGAGGCACUACGGUGCUGAAGUAACAAAUGCCCUGCUUCCAGGAAAAGCCUCUAAGCAUCAGGUAACAUCAAAUCGUACCCCAAACCGACACAGGUGGUCAGGUAGAGAAUACCAAGGCGCUUGAGAGAACUCGGGUGAAGGAACUAGGCAAAAUGGUGCCGUAACUUCGGGAGAAGGCACGCUGACACGUAGGUGAAGUGAUUUACUCAUGGAGCUGAAGUCAGUCGAAGAUACCAGCUGGCUGCAACUGUUUAUUAAAAACACAGCACUGUGCAAACACGAAAGUGGACGUAUACGGUGUGACGCCUGCCCGGUGCCGGAAGGUUAAUUGAUGGGGUCAGCGCAAGCGAAGCUCCUGAUCGAAGCCCCGGUAAACGGCGGCCGUAACUAUAACGGUCCUAAGGUAGCGAAAUUCCUUGUCGGGUAAGUUCCGACCUGCACGAAUGGCGUAAUGAUGGCCAGGCUGUCUCCACCCGAGACUCAGUGAAAUUGAACUCGCUGUGAAGAUGCAGUGUACCCGCGGCAAGACGGAAAGACCCCGUGAACCUUUACUAUAGCUUGACACUGAACAUUGAGCCUUGAUGUGUAGGAUAGGUGGGAGGCUUUGAAGUGUGGACGCCAGUCUGCAUGGAGCCGACCUUGAAAUACCACCCUUUAAUGUUU
RNAcentral lists this ribosomal RNA (2239 nucleotides) under Salmonella enterica subsp. enterica serovar Durham. RNAcentral's name for it is "partial 23S ribosomal RNA". It matches the Rfam family "Bacterial large subunit ribosomal RNA", at positions 134 to 2215 of the family's 2925-position model. The record is from RNAcentral. Lineage: Bacteria; Pseudomonadati; Pseudomonadota; Gammaproteobacteria; Enterobacterales; Enterobacteriaceae.